CGGGUGAGUAACACGUAUCCAACCUGCCGAUGACUCGGGGAUAGCCUUUCGAAAGAAAGAUUAAUACCCGAUGGCAUAGUUCUUCCGCAUGGUGGAACUAUUAAAGAAUUUCGGUCAUCGAUGGGGAUGCGUUCCAUUAGGUUGUUGGCGGGGUAACGGCCCACCAAGCCUUCGAUGGAUAGGGGUUCUGAGAGGAAGGUCCCCCACAUUGGAACUGAGACACGGUCCAAACUCCUACGGGAGGCAGCAGUGAGGAAUAUUGGUCAAUGGACGAGAGUCUGAACCAGCCAAGUAGCGUGAAGGAUGACUGCCCUAUGGGUUGUAAACUUCUUUUAUACGGGAAUAAAGUGAGGCACGUGUGCCUUUUUGUAUGUACCGUAUGAAUAAGGAUCGGCUAACUCCGUGCCAGCAGCCGCGGUAAUACGGAGGAUCCGAGCGUUAUCCGGAUUUAUUGGGUUUAAAGGGAGCGUAGGCGGACGCUUAAGUCAGUUGUGAAAGUUUGCGGCUCAACCGUAAAAUUGCAGUUGAUACUGGGUGUCUUGAGUACAGUAGAGGCAGGCGGAAUUCGUGGUGUAGCGGUGAAAUGCUUAGAUAUCACGAAGAACUCCGAUUGCGAAGGCAGCCUGCUGGACUGUAACUGACGCUGAUGCUCGAAAGUGUGGGUAUCAAACAGGAUUA
Molecule: ribosomal RNA, 678 nt
Filed under: uncultured bacterium
Lineage: Bacteria
Description: bacterial SSU rRNA
Rfam family: Bacterial small subunit ribosomal RNA
Source: RNAcentral